AGGAUUGUUGUAAGUAUUAGACACCUGACUCAUAAUCAGGUGGUCGCAGGUUCGAGCCCUGCUGGGCCCC
This 70-nucleotide transfer RNA is filed under the name Bacteroidota bacterium. Its description in RNAcentral is "Bacteroidetes bacterium tRNA-Met". It matches the Rfam family "tRNA", at positions 14 to 71 of the family's 71-position model. Rfam says of the family: Transfer RNA (tRNA) molecules are approximately 80 nucleotides in length. Their secondary structure includes four short double-helical elements and three loops (D, anti-codon, and T loops). Lineage: Bacteria; Pseudomonadati; Bacteroidota. The record is from RNAcentral.